This 549-nucleotide ribosomal RNA is filed under the name uncultured Glomeromycotina. RNAcentral's name for it is "SSU rRNA". It matches the Rfam family "Eukaryotic small subunit ribosomal RNA", at positions 548 to 1098 of the family's 1831-position model. The record is from RNAcentral. Lineage: Eukaryota; Fungi; Glomeromycota.
UUGGAGGGCAAGUCUGGUGCCAGCAGCCGCGGUAAUUCCAGCUCCAAUAGCGUAUAUUAAAGUUGUUGCAGUUAAAAAGCUCGUAGUUGAAUUUCGGGAUCAGUAGGUCGGUCGUGCCACUGGUAUGCACUGGUCUCACUGGUUCCUCCUUCCUGAUGAACCGUAAUGCCAUUAAUUUGGUGUUGCGGGGAAACUGGACUGUUACUUUGAAAAAAUUAGAGUGUUUAAAGCAGGCUAACGCUUGAAUACAUUAGCAUGGAAUAAUGAAAUAGGACGAUCGAUCCUAUUUUGUUGGUUUCUAGGAUUGACGUAAUGAUUAAUAGGGAUAGUUGGGGGCAUUAGUAUUCAAUUGUCAGAGGUGAAAUUCUUGGAUUUAUUGAAGACUAACUACUGCGAAAGCAUUUGCCAAGGAUGUUUUCAUUAAUCAAGAACGAAAGUUAGGGGAUCGAAGACGAUCAGAUACCGUCGUAGUCUUAACCAUAAACUAUGCCGACUAGGGAUCGGAUGAUGUUAAUUUUAUAAUGACUCAUUCGGCGCCUUACGGGAAAC